Molecule: ribosomal RNA, 491 nt
Filed under: uncultured bacterium
Lineage: Bacteria
Description: partial 16S ribosomal RNA
Rfam family: Bacterial small subunit ribosomal RNA
Source: RNAcentral
AGUGAACGCUGGCGGUAGGCCUAACACAUGCAAGUCGAACGGCAGCACAGUAAGAGCUUGCUCUUACGGGUGGCGAGUGGCGGACGGGUGAGGAAUACAUCGGAAUCUACUUUUUCGUGGGGGAUAACGUAGGGAAACUUACGCUAAUACCGCAUACGACCUACGGGUGAAAGCAGGGGAUCUUCGGACCUUGCGCGAUUGAAUGAGCCGAUGUCGGAUUAGCUAGUUGGCGGGGUAAAGGCCCACCAAGGCGACGAUCCGUAGCUGGUCUGAGAGGAUGAUCAGCCACACUGGAACGGAGACACGGUCCAGACUCCUACGGGAGGCAGCAGUGGGGAAUAUUGGACAAUGGGCGCAAGCCUGAUCCAGCCAUACCGCGUGGGUGAAGAAGGCCUUCGGGUUGUAAAGCCCUUUUGUUGGGAAAGAAAAGCAGCAGGUUAAUACCCCGCUGUUCUGACGGAACCCAAAGAAUAAGCACCGGCUAACUUCGU